This is a non-coding RNA of Pantherophis guttatus, 2984 nucleotides long. The record is from RefSeq and is a predicted model, not a curated record. Lineage: Eukaryota; Metazoa; Chordata; Lepidosauria; Squamata; Colubridae.
CGCAAGGCGCAAGAAGCGGCCGGCGAUCGGGGAACGUUGGGAUCCGGGGGAAAGGAGCGGCGGCUUGCAGGCUUUUGCUGCCGCUGCAGGGCUGGAACCGGCAGAGUUGGCGCCCAGCCUGCCGGGACGAUGUGCCCGGCCUCGGGGCCAAAAGGCGCCCGGCGGCGGCGGUUGCUGCUCCUGCUGUUGCUGCUGCUGGCGGCGGCUCUGGAAGCGGCGUGCGCUUUCGGCGACGAAGAGGAACGCCGCUGCGAUGCCAUCCGCAUCUCCAUGUGCCAGAACUUGGGCUACAACGUCACCAAGAUGCCCAACCUGGUGGGCAGCCAGUUCCAAACCGACGCCGAGCUCCAGCUCACCACUUUCACCCCGCUCAUCCAGUACGGCUGCUCCAGCCAGCUGCAGUUCUUCCUGUGCUCCGUCUACGUCCCCAUGUGCACCGAGCAAAUCAACAUCCCAAUCGGCCCUUGUAGCGGUAUGUGCCUCUCCGUCAAAAGGCGAUGCGAGCCGGUCCUGAAAGAAUUUGGGUUCUCCUGGCCAGAAAACCUGAAUUGCAGCAAGUUCCCCCCACAUAACGACCACAAUCACAUGUGCAUGGAGGGGCCAGGAGACGAAGACGUCCCACUCCACAGCAAGGCCCCCUUGCACCCUGGAGAGGAAUGCCAGAGCGUUGGAUCGAAUGCAGAUCAAUACAUCUGGGUCCGGAGAAGCUUGACCUGUGUCCUCAAAUGCGGCUACGACGCUGGCCUCUACAGCCGGUCCGCCAAGGCGUUCACUGACAUCUGGAUGGCCGUGUGGGCGAGCCUGUGUUUCAUUUCCACCGCCUUCACGGUCUUGACCUUUCUGAUUGAUUCCACUCGGUUUUCCUAUCCGGAGCGGCCCAUCAUAUUCCUGAGCAUGUGCUACAAUAUUUAUAGCAUCGCUUAUAUUGUCCGGCUGACCGUAGGCCGAGAAAGGAUUUCCUGUGACUUCGACGAGGCCAUAGAACCUGUUCUCAUCCAGGAGGGCUUGAAGAACACCGGAUGUGCCAUCAUUUUUUUGCUGAUGUACUUUUUCGGCAUGGCGAGCUCCAUCUGGUGGGUGAUUCUCACCCUGACGUGGUUCCUGGCCGCCGGGCUCAAGUGGGGCCACGAGGCCAUCGAGAUGCACAGCUCGUAUUUCCACAUUGCUGCCUGGGCUAUCCCUGCGGUGAAGACCAUCGUCAUCCUGAUCAUGAGGUUGGUCGACGCCGACGAGCUGACGGGGCUGUGCUAUGUGGGCAACCAGAACCUUGAUGCCUUGACGGGAUUUGUGGUGGCUCCCCUGUUCACUUACUUGGUCAUCGGCACCCUCUUCAUUGCGGCUGGGUUGGUGGCUUUGUUUAAGAUCAGGUCCAACCUCCAGAAGGACGGGACCAAAACGGACAAGCUGGAGAGGUUGAUGGUGAAGAUUGGGGUUUUUUCCGUGCUUUACACGGUGCCGGCGACUUGCGUCAUCGCCUGUUAUUUCUACGAGAUCUCCAACUGGGGGAUCUUUCGCUACUCCGCUGAUGCCUCCAACAUGGCCGUGGAGAUGCUCAAGAUUUUCAUGUCCCUCCUGGUGGGCAUCACAUCCGGCAUGUGGAUUUGGUCAGCCAAGACGCUGCACACUUGGCAAAAGUGCUCCAAUAGACUGGUGAAUUCGGGGAGGGUAAAACGGGGAGCGAAGAGGGCGGACGGGUGGAUGAAACCCGGGAAAGGAAACGAGACAGUGGUAUAAAGAAAGGACAGGGACCAGCACAUUCUCUUACCUUCGAGAGCAGCAUCUGGGAGAAGGAAAUGAAUCCUUUUAUUGAGAAAUAUUUGAGUUUUUGCAGAAUUUUGAAGGAGAGGAGAGGAAAGCAGCAAAGGGAGCUGGACCAGGCUGGGGAAGAGGGGAAAAAAAGCACAGUUUUUUUACAGUGGCUUCACAAAGUUGUGAAGAGUAGAACCUCUUGGAUGUCUAUCAACAAGCGGCCAUUUUAGGAUUCAUGGGCUUUUGUGCCUCCUGAAAAACGCACCACGUGCCUUCUCUCACUCCCUUUCUUCUUCCCCUUAUCCCGUCCUGAUUCACAUUUAUCACUGUCUUGUAUAAAGUAGUACAAGAGAACAAAAUGGAGAGAGGAAGGAAUUCCUUGCAAGGUUUGAGGAGAAUUGCUGGUGUCCGGGAAUCCUGAAUCCAAGAAUCUCUCAACUUGUGUAUAAGUGAUGUCCAGAGCAGAGGUCUUCAAACUUGGCAGCUUUAAGACUUGUGGACUUCAACUCCCAGAAUUCUCCAGCCAGCAUGAGUUGAAGUCCACAAGUCUUAAAGCUGCCAAGUUUGAAGACUUCUGGUCCAGAGCUUGGAGAGCUGCAGAAAGUUGCAGUUUAGGAUGCAAACUUUGAAAUUCUGCAGAAUUCCUUCAAACACAGACCCAGAGAAAGGUCCAAGAUUCAAGCGAAGAAGUCAAAUUUGCCUUUAGCGUCAUCAACUAAAAAAAAAAAACGGUUAAUGUUUCAGGCUGUGUUUGGGGUGAGGAAACAAACAUGGAAUGGAAACAGGAUGUGUUUCUAAUCAGGAUGACCCCCAAAUGACAUCAAGAUGUCGCAAUGCAAGAGAUAAGGUCAUCAAAUCCACGGAAACCCUUGCCUUGAUAGAUUUAUUUCGGUGGGGGGGAAAAAAACCCCCAAGAACCUUUAAAAACACAAUAGUUCCAAAGAAACUUUUAAGCACAAUAGCUGCAGGAUUCUUUUCGGAUUCAGUAGCAGCAGUUACUAAAACAAGAUUAACCUUCAAACAUCACAAGAGGAUAGCAGUGAUAUCACGAGCCUCUGCAGGGACAACAGCUGGUUUCAAGUUCUUGCGGAAAUUUUGAGAGGAACACAAGCGACACGGACAAAACUGAUGAAGAGAAGUGACUCGGGACGAGAAAAAGAACAGUUCUUAUUGAUCAGUAGAAGAUAAAAGGAGGGCAAUGCUCUUCAUCACUUGGUUUAUAUUCCCACAACAAA